UGGGGGAUAUUAGGCAAUGGGGGAAACCCUGACCUAGCGACGCCGCGUGAGGGAAGAAGGUCUUCGGAUUGUAAACCUCUGUCUUCGGGGAAGAUAAUGACGGUACCCGAGGAGGAAGCCCCGGCUAACUACGUGCCAGCAGCCGCGGUAAUACGUAGGGGGCAAGCGUUAUCCGGAUUUAUUGGGUGUAAAGGGUGCGUAGGCGGGGAAUCAAGUUGAAUGUGAAAUACCGUGGCUCAACCACGGGGCUGCGUUCAAAACUGAUUUUCUUGAGUACAGCAGAGGCAAGCGGAAUUCCCAGUGUAGCGGUAAUAUGCGUAGAUAUUGGGAGGAACACCAGUGGCGAAGGCGGCUUGCUGGGCUGAAACUGACGCUGAGGCACGAAAGUGUGGGGAGCAAACA
Molecule: ribosomal RNA, 402 nt
Filed under: uncultured Eubacteriales bacterium
Lineage: Bacteria; Bacillati; Bacillota; Clostridia; Eubacteriales
Description: uncultured Clostridiales bacterium partial 16S ribosomal RNA
Rfam family: Bacterial small subunit ribosomal RNA
Source: RNAcentral